GAUGAAGAACGUAGUGAAAUGCGAUAAGUAAUGCGAAUUGCAGAAUUUCCGUGAGUCAUCGAAUCUUUGAACGCACAUUGCGCCCGCCAGUAUUCUGGCGGGCAUGCCUGUUCGAGCGUCAUUACAACCCUCAGGCCCCCGGGCCUGGCGUUGGGGAUCGGCGGAAGCCCCCUGCGGGCACAACGCCGUCCCCCAAAUACAGUGGCGGUCCCGCCGCAGCUUCCAUUGCGUAGUAGCUAACACCUCGCAACUGGAGAGCGGCGCGGCCACGCCGUAAAACACCCAACUUCUGAAUGUUGACCUCGAAUCAGGUAGGAAUACCCGCUGAACUUAAGCAUAUCAAUAAGCGGAGGA
This 354-nucleotide unclassified non-coding RNA is filed under the name soil metagenome. Its description in RNAcentral is "partial contains 5.8S ribosomal RNA, internal transcribed spacer 2, and large subunit ribosomal RNA". The stretch from base 1 to 121 matches the Rfam family "5.8S ribosomal RNA", at positions 35 to 154 of the family's 154-position model. The record is from RNAcentral.